RNAcentral lists this ribosomal RNA (122 nucleotides) under Acanthamoeba lenticulata. Lineage: Eukaryota; Discosea; Longamoebia; Acanthamoebidae. The record is from RNAcentral.
GGAUACGGCCAUACUGCGCAGAAAGCACCGCUUCCCAUUCGAACAGCGAAGUUAAGCUGCGCCAGGCGGUGUUAGUACUGGGGUGGGCGACCACCCGGGAAUCCACCGUGUCGUAUCCUCUU